Molecule: ribosomal RNA, 301 nt
Filed under: uncultured bacterium
Lineage: Bacteria
Description: partial 16S ribosomal RNA
Rfam family: Bacterial small subunit ribosomal RNA
Source: RNAcentral
CAGUAGCCGCGGGAAAACGUAGGUGGCAAGCGUUGUCCAGAAUUAUUGGGCGUAAAGGGUGCGUAGGCGGUUUGAUAAGUUUGGUGUGAAAUCUCUGGGCUCAACCCAGAGUCUGCAUCGAAAACUGUCGGGCUUGAGUAUGGGAGAGGUGAGUGGAAUUUCCGGUGUAGCGGUGAAAUGCGUAGAUAUCGGAAGGAACACCUGUGGCGAAAGCGGCUCACUGGACCAUUACUGACGCUGAUGCACGAAAGCUAGGGGAGCAAACAGGAUUAGAUACCCCAGUAGUCCCUGUCUCUUAUAC